Molecule: transfer RNA, 86 nt
Filed under: Rhodospirillales bacterium
Lineage: Bacteria; Pseudomonadati; Pseudomonadota; Alphaproteobacteria; Rhodospirillales
Description: tRNA-Tyr
Rfam family: tRNA
About the family: Transfer RNA (tRNA) molecules are approximately 80 nucleotides in length. Their secondary structure includes four short double-helical elements and three loops (D, anti-codon, and T loops).
Source: RNAcentral
GGAGGGGUGGCCGAGCGGUCAAUGGCAGCAGACUGUAAAUCUGCCGACUGAUGUCUACGAAGGUUCGAAUCCUUCCCCCUCCACCA